GUUGUUUCUUUGGUUUUUGGUCCAAGACCAAGAUUAGUAUCUGUUCUUAUCAUUUAACAUCUCAUGAAUCCUCUACCUGAAGAUACUUCCCUCAGUGGAACUUUGGAACAGGGAGAUGAACCAGAGGCUGGCUCCAUCCAUUCCACAAGUCAGCCUGAUGUCGCAGUUCCUCCACGAAUGGUGUGGUUCUC
Small nuclear RNA from Hippopotamus amphibius kiboko, 191 nucleotides. RefSeq annotates it as U2 spliceosomal RNA. The record is from RefSeq and is a predicted model, not a curated record. Lineage: Eukaryota; Metazoa; Chordata; Mammalia; Artiodactyla; Hippopotamidae. The transcript has a single exon.